CACCAGUAAUCGCCUCCUCUCUCCGUUCCUUUCUUCAUCACCGAAAUCAAAAUCCAUAUUCAUCCUAAUCAAUUUCCCCAAUUUCCCUACCUUAAACUUCUAAUAAUCUGUACUUCAUUUCGGAUUUAGGUUCAUAGUUUUGAUUUGAUUAAAUCACUUCAGAAACUGUAACCCUAAAUUGGAAUUAGGUGAUUAGAUUAAAUCACUUCAGAAGUAUCUCCACAAAUACUUCCAGAUUGUUUUGGUUAUUAAACUCAUCUUCUUCACUUCAGGUAACGCUUGAUUAACUGUUUGUAUUUUUUGUAAACGCCUAAUCGAUGGAACCACCACCAACAACAACAUCGUUCUCCGCCUUCUACACCCUAAAUUAACUGUUUGUAUUUUUCUAUCACAGGAUUUGGUGUGGAUUGAAUUUGUUGAAAUUUGGGUGUGGAUUGAAUUUUUUUUUCUUCAAUUUUAUGCCCUAAUCUAGCUCUAACAACAGUUCUUCCCAACUAUCCUGCGAUUUUCCUCCCAUUGAUUUUUACAUUUUUGCUUCUAUUUUCCCAAAUUCGAUAUUAUUCUUCAAUUUCAUGCCCUAAAUUAAAUACCCACCUAUUAUUCUUUUAUUGCUCUUAAUUUGAAUGGGUCGAUUGGGGUUAGGUCUAGACUCUAUACCACUUAAACCAUCUGAUCUUAUCCCUGCGAAGGUGAGUUAGAAAUCAUGUAUUUCUAAGUACAAAUCUGUAGAUUAAUUAACUUUUGCUUUAUCUGCUUGUGUUUUAAUGAUCUCAAUUAUAAUAAUUAGAUGAUAUAUUGGGUGCACUUUAGAGUUGGAGAUUUAAAGAGAACUUCCUGGUGAUGCUCAGGUUAAGUUAAUGUGUUCAUACUGUAAGAAACAUAAUGAGAAAUAAGUAAGCUACAUGAACAGCUGUUUGUGGAAAUACCCAGGAUUGGUAAGAAACUCAUUAUCCAAAAUCAGUAAACAAUCAAAGAUCAAAAUAGAUACUUUUUAUUUAUCAAAGUUCAGUCCAGGCUUUGUUUCGUUUGAAUUUUACAAUUUAGAGUUUGUAUAUAUUUAUCAUAGCCUAUGUAAGUUUCAGUAGAUACCACUGUAACAAUUAUGAAUUGAAGAGUUGAACUUCAGUUGGGUAUGAGUUUUAUUUCAUUUUUAGUUGUAGUAUAGAAAGAUUAGUUUGUGAACAUUUACCUGUUUGUGUAAAGGCCACAGAGGUUUGUAUAUAUCAGCACAGUUUUUAUCCAAAGCUUAUUUGGUUGUCAGUUGAUGUUUAGUUUGUUCUUUUGGCAGAUGCCAGGAGAGGUUGUUAUUAGAAAAAAACAACCGAAAGCUCAUGUUCUAUGUCUAGAUGUAGAUGGUAUAGAAGUAGAUGAACAUGGCAAUGUAGGGUUUUUUUCACAGUUUUGCUCUAUUUCCUCUUAUCGUUCAAAUGUUGUGGUGGUUAUGUUAUAUUAUACUUUGACUGACAUCUGCUCUCGCGUUAAGAGGUUUUAAUAUGGGAAGAUUGUUACGGGAAUGAUUCGUUCCAUGAGAAACGCCAUCCUCCUAACUUAUAUGCCCUCCCGAGUUGGCAUAUAUCCUCAAGUUGAUCCAUAUAAGUGUGAUUGAGAGGGUGGGGUGGAGUUUUAGAAUAUAUUGUGGCUUCAAAGGCUUUAACAGUUAAGAGACUAGAUGAAGUAUCAGCAGCCGAAGGCGUUAGCUUACCUAUUACAGGUCGCCACUUCAAGAGAGACGAGUUUUGGAAUUACAUGGAGGGUUUAGAUUUAAAUUGUUGUUUAUUUGAUUUCCUUCUAAAAGGUAGAGGAUUUACAGUCGUCCCACUUCUAAUUUUCAUUUGGUUGUAUUUCCUUUUGGAUUUCACUAUUUGUUUUUUUUUUCUUUUUCUAUUGGUCUGAAAUAUUUGCUUACUCGAACAAUGUUCAAAAUGGUGAAGUGGGGUCGACAUUUUUAUCUGAUUGUAAUAGUAAUAUAUUUAACCGACAAAUUGUUUUUAA
Molecule: long non-coding RNA, 1992 nt
Organism: Papaver somniferum (opium poppy)
Lineage: Eukaryota; Viridiplantae; Streptophyta; Magnoliopsida; Ranunculales; Papaveraceae
Exons: 3
Source: RefSeq, a predicted model, not a curated record